GGUCCGUGAGGUCGAAGAGGAGAACCAGCUUCUCCGCCGUGAACUCAGCCGACCCCCCCGUAGCCCUGCUGGCCCUGGUUCCCAUCACGCCAAUCACCACGGCAACCAGAGCAAGACCCACUCGGAGGAGGGAACAGGGGACAACGAGGCGGGGCUUAAAGCUGGCUCCACGGGCAACAGGUCAGACUGUGUGCAGCAACCACCGGUAGACAAGUGUGAGACCAUUCACGUGGCCAUCGUGUGCGCCGGGUACAACGCCAGUCGUGAUGUGGUGACACUCGUCAAGUCUGUCCUUUUUCACAGACGGAACCCUCUCCCACUUCCACAUCAUAACAGACUCUACUGCCCAGCAGAUCCUAGCGUCUCUGUUCCAUACCUGGAUGGUCCCUGCAGUCAGGGUAGACUUCUACGAUGCAGACGAACUCAAGGCUGAGGUGUCAUGGAUCCCCAACAAGCAUUACUCCGGUAUCUACGGUCUGAUGAAGCUGGUGCUCACGAAGACCUUACCCCCAGACCUGCAGAAAGUCAUCGUCCUGGACACAGACAUCACCUUCGCUACAGACAUCGCUGAGCUCUGGGCCGUCUUCCACAAGUUCAAAGGUGAGGCUAAUACAUCAUUUCCUGUUGGGAUAAUUGUGCUUCCUGUUGCUUCUACCAGGGGUUGUAUUCAU
This is a long non-coding RNA of Coregonus clupeaformis (lake whitefish), 671 nucleotides long. RefSeq lists it as uncharacterized. The transcript has 4 exons. NCBI's taxonomy places the organism in Eukaryota, Metazoa, Chordata, Actinopteri, Salmoniformes, Salmonidae. The record is from RefSeq and is a predicted model, not a curated record.